GGUCCCGUAGCUCAGAUGGAUAGAGCAGGAACCUCCUAAGUUCAAGGUCGCCCGUUCGAGUCGGGCCGGGACCGCCA
This 77-nucleotide transfer RNA is filed under the name Armatimonadia bacterium. RNAcentral describes it as "tRNA-Arg". Lineage: Bacteria; Bacillati; Armatimonadota; Armatimonadia. The record is from RNAcentral.